Molecule: ribosomal RNA, 446 nt
Filed under: uncultured organism
Description: partial 16S ribosomal RNA
Rfam family: Bacterial small subunit ribosomal RNA
Source: RNAcentral
CACUCCUACGGGAGGCAGCAGUGGGGAAUAUUGGACAAUGGGCGCAAGCCUGAUCCAGCCAUGCCGCGUGAGUGAUGAAGGCCCUAGGGUUGUAAAGCUCUUUCACCGGUGAAGAUAAUGACGGUAACCGGAGAAGAAGCCCCGGCUAACUUCGUGCCAGCAGCCGCGGUAAUACGCAGGGGGCUAGCGUUGUUCGGAUUUACUGGGCGUAAAGCGCACGUAGGCGGACUAUUAAGUCAGGGGUGAAAUCCCGGGGCUCAACCCCGGAACUGCCUUUGAUACUGGUAGUCUUGAGUUCGAGAGAGGUGAGUGGAAUUCCGAGUGUAGAGGUGAAAUUCGUAGAUAUUCGGAGGAACACCAGUGGCGAAGGCGGCUCACUGGCUCGAUACUGACGCUGAGGUGCGAAAGCGUGGGGAGCAAACAGGAUUAGAUACCCGUGUAGUCCC